AUUGAACGCUGGCGGCAGGCUUAACACAUGCAAGUCGAACGAUGAAGAUAUAGCUUGCUAUAUCGGAUUAGUGGCGGACGGGUGAGUAACACUUAGGAAUCUACCUUUUAGCGGGGGAUAGCUCGGGGAAACUCGAAUUAAUACCGCAUAAUUUCUACGGAAUAAAGAGGGCUUUUAGCUCUCACUAGAAGAUGAGCCUAAGUAAGAUUAGCUAGUUGGUGGGGUAAAAGCCUACCAAGGCGACGAUCUUUAGCUGGUCUGAGAGGAUGAUCAGCCACACUGGGACUGAGACACGGCCCAGACUCCUACGGGAGGCAGCAGUGGGGAAUAUUGGACAAUGGGGGCAACCCUGAUCCAGCCAUGCCGCGUGUGUGAAGAAGGCCUUUUGGUUGUAAAGCACUUUAAGCAGUGAAGAAGACCUAUUGGUUAAUACCCAAUAGCGAUGACAUUAACUGCAGAAUAAGCACCGGCUAACUCUGUGCCAGCAGCCGCGGUAAUACAGAGGGUGCAAGCGUUAAUCGGAGUUACUGGGCGUAAAGCGAGCGUAGGUGGUUAAAUAAGUCAGAUGUGAAAGCCCUGGGCUCAACCUAGGAACGGCAUCUGAAACUAUUUAACUAGAGUAGGUGAGAGGGAAGUAGAAUUUCAGGUGUAGCGGUGAAAUGCGUAGAGAUCUGAAGGAAUACCGAUGGCGAAGGCAGCUUCCUGGCAUCAUACUGACACUGAGGCUCGAAAGCGUGGGUAGCAAACAGG
RNAcentral lists this ribosomal RNA (750 nucleotides) under uncultured bacterium. RNAcentral's name for it is "bacterial SSU rRNA". It matches the Rfam family "Bacterial small subunit ribosomal RNA", at positions 28 to 776 of the family's 1533-position model. The record is from RNAcentral.